RNAcentral lists this transfer-messenger RNA (400 nucleotides) under Parabacteroides sp. It matches the Rfam family "transfer-messenger RNA". From Rfam's summary of the family: Bacterial tmRNA, also known as 10Sa RNA or SsrA, is named for its dual tRNA and mRNA-like properties. Its role is to liberate the mRNA from a stalled ribosome. The record is from RNAcentral. Lineage: Bacteria; Pseudomonadati; Bacteroidota; Bacteroidia; Bacteroidales; Tannerellaceae.
GGGGCUGACCGGUUUUGACAGCGGGUAGAAGUGGUUUGUAAGCAUGUAGUGCGUGGUCGGCUUGCACUAUAAUCUCAGACGGCAGACAAUUAACUGGCGAAGAAAAUUACGCUCUCGCUGCUUAAUCGAAGAAUAGUAGAUUGAAGCUUAAUCCCUGCAAAAGUUGCGGGGACGUGACAUCACCCGGAUGCUGUUGCUCCGAAGCGUUCCGAACAGGUGGUGCAGCAAUAUCGGAGAUAGCCUGACGCAAGCCUUGGGCGGCAGGUGAAGAUUUAAAGGAUAAGGUUCAAGUGGGUAGCUUCGGUCUUGCUUGUUCCCGACAAUCUAAGCGAAGAUAAACAUGUAGAAAGCAGAUUAGUUCCUCGUUUGGACGAGAGUUCGAAUCUCUCCAGCUCCACAA